CCGUCUUGAAACACGGACCAAGGAGUGCAAGAGGCGCGCGAGUCUUGGGGUGAUCCUUUCACGAUCUAGGGCGAAGCGAGAGUGAGACGCGGGAGCCGGCGUUGGUCGGCGCAUCGCGCACCGCGCCGUAUGGUCACGCUGUGGCCGGCUCUAAGUCAGAGCUCGCCUGUUGCGACCCGAAAGAUGGUGAACUAUGCCCGAGGAGGGUGAAGCCAGGGGAAACUCUGGUGGAAGCUCGUAGCGGUUCUGACGUGCAAAUCGAUCGUCGCACUUGGGUAUAGGGGCGAAAGACUAAUCGAACCAUCUAGUAGCUGGUUCCCUCCGAAGUUUCCCUCAGGAUAGCUGGAGCCCGGCUGGGCAGUUUUAUCGGGUAAAGCGAAUGAUUAGAGGUAUCGGGGUCCGAGUGACCUCGACCUAUUCUCAAACUUUAAAUAGGUAAGGUCGGGCGGCUUGCUCGUGUGAAGCCGCACCGCGGAAUGCAGGGGCUCCUGGUGGGCCGUUUUUGGUAAGCAGAACCGGCGAUGCGGGAUGAACCGAACGGCGGGUUACGGUGCCGGAGUCGACGCUGACCAGAGCCCCAGGAAAGGUGUUGGUUGAUCCAGACAGCAGGACGGUGGCCAUGGAAGUCGGAAUCCGCUAAGGAGUGUGUAACAACUCACCUGCCGAAUCAACUAGCCCUGAAAAUGGAUGGCGCUGA
RNAcentral lists this ribosomal RNA (697 nucleotides) under Xestospongia sp. CC29. RNAcentral's name for it is "eukaryotic LSU rRNA". It matches the Rfam family "Eukaryotic large subunit ribosomal RNA", at positions 649 to 1331 of the family's 3401-position model. Lineage: Eukaryota; Metazoa; Porifera; Demospongiae; Haplosclerida; Petrosiidae. The record is from RNAcentral.